UGGGGAAUUUUGGACAAUGGGGGAAACCCUGAUCCAGCCAUCCCGCGUGUGCGAUGAAGGCCUUCGGGUUGUAAAGCACUUUUGGCAGGAAAGAAACGUCAUGGGUUAAUACCCCGUGAAACUGACGGUACCUGCAGAAUAAGCACCGGCUAACUACGUGCCAGCAGCCGCGGUAAUACGUAGGGUGCAAGCGUUAAUCGGAAUUACUGGGCGUAAAGCGUGCGCAGGCGGUUCGGAAAGAAAGAUGUGAAAUCCCAGAGCUCAACUUUGGAACUGCAUUUUUAACUACCGGGCUAGGGUGUGUCAGAGGGGGGUGGAAUUCCGCGUGUAGCAGUGAAAUGCGUAGAUAUGCGGAGGAACACCGAUGGCGAAGGCAGCCUCCUGGGAUAACACUGACGCUCGUGCACGAAAGCGUGGGGAGCAAACAGG
Molecule: ribosomal RNA, 429 nt
Filed under: Acidobacteriota bacterium
Lineage: Bacteria; Pseudomonadati; Acidobacteriota
Description: Acidobacteria bacterium partial 16S ribosomal RNA
Rfam family: Bacterial small subunit ribosomal RNA
Source: RNAcentral